RNAcentral lists this long non-coding RNA (1622 nucleotides) under Homo sapiens (human). Its description in RNAcentral is "non-protein coding LINC01394:23". The record is from RNAcentral. Lineage: Eukaryota; Metazoa; Chordata; Mammalia; Primates; Hominidae.
AACGGCCUCCCAGGCCGCGGGGCCGAGCGGCCGGCGCCGGGCGACUGCGCCCGCGAGUGGGACCGCGGCCUGGACCCCGGGGACGAGCCCGACGUCUCCCUUCAGGAGCGCUCCUCGCUCUGUCUCUCGGACUUCCUCCCUCCCUCGCCCUCCCCGGCCGCCCUCCUCGCUCCCUCCCUCCCUCCCUCCCCCCCCACCCCGCCCUGCCCCCUCCUCGCUCCGCGCCGCCGCGCUCACUCCUCCCCCUCCCGACCUGGCGGCCGCCUCCCUCUCUUAUCUCGCUCCCCGCUCUCCAGGGUCUCCUCGCUCUUCAUUCCUCUCGCGGCCUCCUCCCCUUUCCCUCACUCACCCUCUUUCCAAUUGAGGGAUCACAGACUCACUCCGGUUCUGCCAGGGGGACGACCCCCACCCCUCGCAAAACUCGACCACCUCUGACUUCAUGAAAUAUUCUUUCUGUUUGCCCCCCGCAGCAAGCCCCGCGUCCCAUCCCAGGACCCAGCCCCGCCCCUCCGCGCCCCCUUCCUCCUCCUGGCCCGCCGGGCCGAGUGGUGCUGCUGCGGGUGCGGCUGCUCGGAGCCUCCCUGGCCGCCCUCCCCAGGGCCGAUACUGACUCCAUCUGUCAACUUCGUUUAGACUUUGCCGCCCUCAGCCACACGCCGGGGUGCCAGACGCCCAAAGGGUGCUCAUCCAGGCCUUAAAAGUUGGCAGCAUCCCCCAGGAACUACCCUGUGAACAAAUCCAGGCUUUCGGAAGCACGUGAUUCUGCAGAAAUGCCACAUUCUCUUCCACAUGGGCUGUGGGCUCUGAGUCCCCCUUUGCUUCCUCGGCCUAUGUACCUGCUGAAGAAGACAGUUGUGUCGUGUACAUGCAACCUAAGGAGGUAACCUUUUACCCAGCCUGAGACUUCAGAGGGUAUUCAUAUUGGGGACCAGCAGCCCGUGAUGUUUGUCCCCCAGAGAGGGGGAGAGAGCUGCUGCCUGCAGAGUGGCUGCUCCUGCUUUGCACGGCCCCUGGCUUCUGCAUCCCUCCAUCCUCCAGCUGGGCACAGAGGUUGCCAAAAGGGCCAGUAGGAGGAGAAGGCUUCAUGGAGGACGGGGGCAAGAGCGGGCCGACCAUGCUGGCUUCCUCGCCUUGUGUCUGGCUGACUGCACAGGCCUGAGGAGGCUGUGUGUAAGUUGGCAAAUGACAGGAAGAGCAUGUGCUUCUAAUCACCCACCCAUCUUAAUAACGUCGAACAGAUACAGUGCAGAAACUAUUGCACAACCACCAGCAUUUCAUUACAUCAGAAUCCUUGCCAAUUUGAAAGAGGUCCUUGAAUCCAGGGAGAGUUACAUCUUUACGUUUUUGAUCACGAUCCUCUUGGAAGAUACUUAUUAGGGCCAUUUGUUGAUGACAAUAUUAAGAAUUAGCAAAUAUCUUCUUAAAUAUAACAAAAAUUGAAUUGUUUCAUUAGAGAACUAUAAAGUCUGUUAUUUAAGAGGAAACUGUUGUGCUGUUCAAAAGCAGGAAAGAAUUGUUGAAGGACUCUUCCUGGUCUCCUUUCUAGAACUGAGGCAACUCAGCUAUUGUAGUCAAAAGAAUUUUUAAAAAAUUAGUAAAGAGAAAAGCAGAAUCUUCGUACA